RNAcentral lists this transfer RNA (73 nucleotides) under uncultured Acidimicrobiales bacterium. RNAcentral describes it as "tRNA-Gly-GCC". It matches the Rfam family "tRNA". From Rfam's summary of the family: Transfer RNA (tRNA) molecules are approximately 80 nucleotides in length. Their secondary structure includes four short double-helical elements and three loops (D, anti-codon, and T loops). Further hydrogen bonds mediate the characteristic L-shaped molecular structure. tRNAs have two regions of fundamental functional importance: the anti-codon, which is responsible for specific mRNA codon recognition, and the 3' end, to which the tRNAs corresponding amino acid is attached (by aminoacyl-tRNA synthetases). tRNAs cope with the degeneracy of the genetic code in two manners: having more than one tRNA (with a specific anti-codon) for a particular amino acid; and 'wobble' base-pairing, i.e. permitting non-standard base-pairing at the 3rd anti-codon position. Lineage: Bacteria; Bacillati; Actinomycetota; Acidimicrobiia; Acidimicrobiales. The record is from RNAcentral. RNAcentral also lists the same sequence under 1 other name.
GUGGCCGUCGUUCAACGGAUAAGGAUCCCGGCACGCCAGGCCGGGGACGAGGGUUCGAUUCCCUCCGACCACA